Molecule: ribosomal RNA, 407 nt
Filed under: uncultured bacterium
Lineage: Bacteria
Description: partial 16S ribosomal RNA
Rfam family: Bacterial small subunit ribosomal RNA
Source: RNAcentral
AUUGAACGCUGGCGGCAGGCCUAACACAUGCAAGUCGAGCGGAGCGGCGGACGGGUGAGUAAUGCCUAGGAAUCUGCCUGGUAGUGGGGGAUAACGUCCGGAAACGGGCGCUAAUACCGCAUACUAUCAGAUGAGACUAGGUCGGAUUAGCUAUUUGGUGGGGUAAAGGCCUACAAAGGUGACGAUCCGUACCUGGUCUGAGAGGAUGAUCAGGCACACUGGAACUGCGACACGGUCCAGUCUCCUACGGAAGGCAGCAGUGGGGAAGAUUGGACAAUGGGCGAAAGCCGGAUCCAGCCAUGCCGCGUGUGUGAAGAAGGUCUUCGGAUUGUAAAGUACUUUCAGCGGGGAGGCGUUACCCGCAGAAGAAGCACCGGCUAACUCCGUGCCAGCAGCCGCGGUAAUAC